This is a non-coding RNA of Manis javanica (Malayan pangolin), 2795 nucleotides long. NCBI's taxonomy places the organism in Eukaryota, Metazoa, Chordata, Mammalia, Pholidota, Manidae. The record is from RefSeq and is a predicted model, not a curated record.
AGCGCUUUAAGGAGGCGGCGCAGUGGGGCUGGGUAUGCUGACCGCUCUGCGGGCUGGGUUUCCAACCUCCCAGCAUCCCGGCCACGCGGGUCCGCGAUGCCAAACCCCCUCACCCUCCAGAUAGCAACCGUCACCCCAUCAGAUAACCUUCAGAACCCUCCUGGGACUCCUGCCCCCCACCCCUGGACCACGACCCUUGCCCCUCCCCUGGAUAGCUACUCCUAGUAGCCCCCCGGAACGCCUGCACCCCCUUACCCUGGGCCAGCGACCUCCGCCCCCCCACAACACCAGCAGCCCCCGAACAUCUGCCCCCUUAACUCCGGGUCAGCAAACCCCAGCACCUCUCAGGACACCUACCCCACUCAGCCCAAGAGAGCGACCCCCAGCACCCCCUGGGGCCCCUGAGCCCCCCCCAUCCCGGGUUAGCGACCCCUGCCUCUCUACGACCCCCAGCACUCCCCCAGACACCUGCGUCCUUCACACCGGGUCAGCAAACCCCAGAACCUCCCGGGACGCCUGCCCGCCCCCAGUCAGGAGCAGCGACCCCAGCCCGCGUUGAACGGCGAAGAAGGGUCUGCAGGUCACUUCCCAGACAACCUGGCGGUCGCGUUGAAAUAAUUACCCACACUCCCCAGCCCUGCGCUUGGUUCACCUGCAAAGAUCAGGACCCUCCAAAGUUGGUUGAAGCCCUAAACCCCAUGUGGCUGUUUUGGAGACGGGGCAUCUGAGGAAGUAAGUAGGAUUCAAAGUGGUCUGGAGGGUAGGGCCCUGAUCCAGGAGGAGUGAUGUCCUUACAGAAGAAACACCAGGCAGCUCCCGCACUCUGUCCUUGGGAACUCACUGAAGAAGGCCUGUGAGGACACGUGCAGAGCCCUGUCUAUGAGCCAGGACACGGACCUCGCCAGAAACUGAAUUGAUCAGAACCUUGAUCAUAGACUUCCACUCUCCAGAACUCAUGGAGGGAGGCAGACUUGGGUCAAAGCUAACUGGAAAUGAGAGUGGCCAUAGCUUUGACUCUGAACUGCUUUCACCUGCUGCGGUCCAGAAGCAGACCUUCUUCAGAGUGAAAAGGUAGCAAGAGACCGCAUCCUUCAUCAGAACCAGUGUAUCUUGCCAACAAACAAGCCCAAGUUCUGCUUCUUUCAGGCACAGAGGAAACAUGGCUCACUUCUGUCCAGAAGUACAAAUGCCUCGGGGCAUUGGUUCUCGCCACAGGUGGCCAGCGGUGGGCACAUGUUCCAGCCCUGAGGACAUCGGAACUCUGCCACCACCAGUGGUGGUGCCCAGAGCGAUGCAAAGGCCUCGGGCAGAAGGUGUUUAACUUGCUAGACCCAGGAGGAGACAGCCUGCAACCCUGGAAGGGGAGGUUGUGAAACCUCAGCUUUUCCUGCCUAAGAGUGGCUUCUUUAAAUGUAAAAAGCCCUCAAACAUGAAGUUAAUUACAUGAUGUUUUAGAAUUAAUAAAUCAAACAAAAGUGGCUUACACUUGACAAACCAAGCUGCUGGACUUGAGAAGGGCAGGAAGACACUGGCUGGUCUCCCCUCUGGACAUACCGUGAGCCCAUACUGUGGACCUUGCAGCCAGUGUGGAAGCCAUGCUGCCUUGCUGCUUCUAUGUCAAACUUUGGGGGAGGAGCAUAGAGAGACUCCACAGGAGCCUCCUGCAUGGCACCGCCUUGACACUGGCCUGGGCACAGCCAAAAGGGCUCUGCUUGCCCCAGGGCCCCCUCCUGUGGGACAUGCCCACCUCCUUUGAAAUCCUACCUGUUUCUGUAAUUUCGUCCUUCCAGGGAGCUUGAUUGGCCCUGGCAGGAGGAAAGUGGAAGGUAAGUGGGGUGGUGGGACUUUAGGGAGAGCUCCCUUCCUACCUGAUAGGAACUUCCUCAGAUAUGCUGAGAUCUUGAAGGUCUAGGUAUCAGUGACAUCCAAGUAGUCACCACCAACAUUCAACUCUUUUAUUGUACACUGGUUUGAAUGGUUUAUACUUACCUUAUGUGUACAAUUUUUCAAUUAAUAAGGCAGCACAAACAAAAGUACUGCAUAGAGUCUGGGUCCUGGCUCAGGCCCAGCUUUGGGUAGAUGGGGGAAGGAACUUUACAUCUGUGACCAUCCACCUAUUGCACAUGGAUCACCUGUAGGCUGGCUUCUGUCAGCUCUCUGCUGAAAUGGGUCCUGUGUGAGCCCUGGCCUACUGGCUGCAGCACUGACACCUCUGCCGUCUCCCUGCCCCACCCUGGCCCUUUCUUUCCUGUGUUCCCUGGAGCCAUGCUGCUGCUUCCCUACAAUCUGCUUACUUUUGUUUCUGUUGCCCAGACCUAUCGUGCUGUUCUUCUAGGAAGUGAGUUUCUGUCUGGAGCAAGUCUAAAUACUGUGUACUGGGCGGUGGGGCACUUGUAUCCUCCAGGUCAGCACCCUGUGCCUCAACCCUGAUCUCCUCUUCCUCCUCCCCAAGGCCCAUGGCUCUGUGGUCCAGCAUGUGUAGAAAUUGAGCUGACAUGGGCUCUGAUAAGGAGGCAGUCAUCUUGUGCCUCCAGGUUGCUGUGACAUCACUGAGAUGACCCCUGCUCUGUCCCUUAUCUAAAAAUAUCAGACUUCAAUCUCUAAGAUGCAGGAACAAGUUCCUACAUGUUUUUCAUCACCCAGUGUCCUGCAUGAGCAAGAAUGUUCCCAUCCUCCCUGAAUAGGGCGAGUAGUGUGGAGCAAAGGUGGGAAGACUGGAGAGGAAGCUGGUUGCUUAUAUCUGAGAAGAGUACAGGUUCUCAUGGUAAUAAAAGCAGGUGGAACCUGCAGUUUCA